AUGAACGCUGGCGGCGUGCCUAACACAUGCAAGUCGAGCGGGGGUGUGGAGUAGUUUACUAUGAAGCAUCUUAGCGGCGGACGGGUGAGUAACGCGUGGGCAACCUGCCCUAUGCAGGGGGAUAACAUAUCGAAAGGUGUGCUAAAACCGCAUAAAGCUUAAGAAUCGCAUGAUUUUCAAGCCAAAGAUUUAUCGGCAUAGGAUGGGCCCGCGUCUGAUUAGCUAGUUGGUGAGGUAAAGGCUCACCAAGGCGACGAUCAGUAGCCG
RNAcentral lists this ribosomal RNA (267 nucleotides) under uncultured bacterium. RNAcentral describes it as "partial 16S ribosomal RNA". It matches the Rfam family "Bacterial small subunit ribosomal RNA", at positions 29 to 289 of the family's 1533-position model. The record is from RNAcentral.